This 253-nucleotide ribosomal RNA is filed under the name uncultured bacterium. Its description in RNAcentral is "partial 16S ribosomal RNA". It matches the Rfam family "Bacterial small subunit ribosomal RNA", at positions 524 to 776 of the family's 1533-position model. The record is from RNAcentral.
GACAGAGGCCUCGAGCGUUAGGCGGAAUCACUGGGCUCAAAGCGUGUGUAGGCGGGCCCGUAAGUGUCUUGUGAAAUCCCACGGCUCAACCGUGGAACUGCUGGGCAUACUGCGGGUCUUGGGCCAACUAGGGGCAGCCGGAACAAGCGGUGGAGCGGUGAAAUGCGUAGAUAUCGCUUGGAACGCCGAAGGUGAAAACAGGCUGCUGGGGUUGCGCCGACGCUGAGACACGAAAGCCAGGGGAGCAAACGGG